This 433-nucleotide ribosomal RNA is filed under the name uncultured bacterium. RNAcentral's name for it is "partial 16S ribosomal RNA". It matches the Rfam family "Bacterial small subunit ribosomal RNA", at positions 29 to 507 of the family's 1533-position model. The record is from RNAcentral.
AGCGAACGCUGGCGGCAGGCUUAACACAUGCAAGUCGAGCGGGCACUUCGGUGUCAGCGGCAGACGGGUGAGUAACACGUGGGAACGUACCCUUUGGUUCGGAAUAACGCUGGGAAACUAGCGCUAAUACCGGAUACGCCCUUUUGGGGAAAGGCUUGCUGCCGAAGGAUCGGCCCGCGUCUGAUUAGCUAGUUGGUGGGGUAAUGGCCUACCAAGGCGACGAUCAGUAGCUGGUCUGAGAGGAUGAUCAGCCACACUGGGACUGAGACACGGCCCAGACUCCUACGGGAGGCAGCAGUGGGGAAUAUUGGACAAUGGGCGCAAGCCUGAUCCAGCCAUGCCGCGUGAGUGAUGAAGGCCUUAGGGUUGUAAAGCUCUUUUGUCCGGGACGAUAAUGACGGUACCGGAAGAAUAAGCACCGGCUAACUUCGUG